GAUGAAGAACGCAGCGAAAUGCGAUACUUGGUGUGAAUUGCAGAAUCCCGUGAACCAUCGAGUCUUUGAACGCAAGUUGCGCCCGAAGCCACUAGGCCGAGGGCACGCCUGCCUGGGCGUCACACGCCGUUGCCCCCCCAUCAACUCCUUCGGGAUUGCGGGGGGGCGGAUGAUGGCCUCCCGUGCGCCUAGCCGCGCGGUUGGCAUAAAUACCAAGUCCUCGGCGACGCACGCCACGACAAUCGGUGGUUGCGAAACCUCGGUUGCCCGUCGUGUGCGUUCGUCGCGCAUCGAGGGCUCGAAAAAAUGCUCGGCUCCGGCUGGGCUUUCAACGCGACCCCAGGUCAGGCGGGGUUACCCGCUGAAUUUAAGCAUAUCAAUAAGCGGAGGA
This 391-nucleotide unclassified non-coding RNA is filed under the name soil metagenome. Its description in RNAcentral is "partial contains 5.8S ribosomal RNA, internal transcribed spacer 2, and large subunit ribosomal RNA". The stretch from base 1 to 122 matches the Rfam family "5.8S ribosomal RNA", at positions 35 to 154 of the family's 154-position model. The record is from RNAcentral.